Molecule: ribosomal RNA, 427 nt
Filed under: Triticum aestivum (bread wheat)
Lineage: Eukaryota; Viridiplantae; Streptophyta; Magnoliopsida; Poales; Poaceae
Description: partial small subunit ribosomal RNA
Source: RNAcentral
CCGCCGCCACUCCCAUUCGCUCGUCUCCUCCAACCCUAAGCGAUGACGAAGGGUACCGGCAGUUUCGGCAAGCGCCGGAACAAGACCCACACGCUCUGCAUCCGCUGCGGCCGCCGCAGCUUCCACCUCCAGAAGAGCACCUGCUCCUCGUGCGGCUACCCCGCCGCCCGCAUCCGCAAGUACAACUGGAGUGUGAAAGCCAUCAGGCGCAAGACCACCGGCACUGGAAGGAUGAGGUACAUGCGCCACGUGCCUCGCAGGUUCAAGAGCAACUUCAGAGAAGGUACCGAGGCUGCCCCCAGGAACAGGGCCGCGGCCAACUAGGUCUGGAUUUUGCCCCAGCAGGAAUCCCGUGAAGCUAGAAUUUAAAGACUUUUGCUUGGAUUGUACCCCACCUAAACUAUUGUUGCUAUAGAAUUGAGUAUGG